GACGAACGCUGGCGGCGUGCCUAACACAUGCAAGUCGAACGGUGAAGGGGUCUGCUUUUGUGGGCCCUGGAUGAGUGGCGAACGGGUGAGUAACACGUGAGUAACCUGCCCCCUUCUUCUGGAUAACCGCAUGAAAGUGUGGCUAAUACGGGAUAUUCUGGGUCUGUCGCAUGAUGGGUCUGGGAAAGAUUGCGCCUUUGGGUGUUUUUGGUGGGGGAUGGGCUCGCGGCCUAUCAGCUUGUUGGUGGGGUGAUGGCCUACCAAGGCGGUGACGGGUAGCCGGCCUGAGAGGGUGGACGGUCACACUGGGACUGAGACACGGCCCAGACUCCUACGGGAGGCAGCAGUGGGGAAUAUUGCACAAUGGGCGCAAGCCUGAUGCAGCGACGCCGCGUGAGGGAUGGAGGCCUUCGGGUUGUAAACCUCUUUCGCCAGUGAAGCAGGCCUGCUCCUUGUGGGUGGGUUGGCGGUAGCUGGAUAAGAAGCGCCGGCUAACUACGUG
RNAcentral lists this ribosomal RNA (502 nucleotides) under uncultured bacterium. RNAcentral describes it as "partial 16S ribosomal RNA". It matches the Rfam family "Bacterial small subunit ribosomal RNA", at positions 28 to 507 of the family's 1533-position model. The record is from RNAcentral.